GACGAACGCUGGCGGCGUGCUUAACACAUGCAAGUCGAACGGAAAGGCCCUGCUUGCUGGGUACUCGAGUGGCCAACGGGUGGGUAACACGUGGGUGCUCUGCCCUGCACUUCGGGAUAAGCCUGGGCAACUGGGUCUAAUACCGGAUAGGAGCUAUUUUUAGCGUGAUGGUUGGAAAGUUUUUUCGGUGUAGGGUGAGCUCGCGGGCUAUCAGCUUGUUGGUGGGGUAAUGGCCUACCAAGGCGGCGACGGGUAGCCGGCCUGAGAGGGUGGACGGCCACAUUGGGACUGAGAGACGGCCCAGACUCCGACUGGAGGCAGCAGUGGGGAAUAUUGCACAAUGGGCGCAAGCCUGAUGCAGCGACGCCGCGUGGGGGAUGACGGCCUUCGGGUUGAAAACUACUUUCGCUAGGGACGAAGCUUUUUGUGACGGUACCUAGAGAAGAAGCACCGGCUAACUACGUG
This 465-nucleotide ribosomal RNA is filed under the name uncultured bacterium. RNAcentral's name for it is "partial 16S ribosomal RNA". It matches the Rfam family "Bacterial small subunit ribosomal RNA", at positions 28 to 507 of the family's 1533-position model. The record is from RNAcentral.